Molecule: ribosomal RNA, 409 nt
Filed under: Actinomycetes bacterium
Lineage: Bacteria; Bacillati; Actinomycetota; Actinomycetes
Description: Actinobacteria bacterium partial 16S ribosomal RNA
Rfam family: Bacterial small subunit ribosomal RNA
Source: RNAcentral
UGGGGAAUAUUGCACAAUGGGCGGAAGCCUGAUGCAGCGACGCCGCGUGGGGGAUGAAGGCCUUCGGGUUGUAAACUCCUUUCGACAGGGACGAAGCUUUUGUGACGGUACCUGUAUAAGAAGCACCGGCUAACUACGUGCCAGCAGCCGCGGUAAUACGUAGGGUGCGAGCGUUGUCCGGAAUUACUGGGCGUAAAGAGCUCGUAGGUGGUUUGUCGCGUCGUCUGUGAAAUUCCGGGGCUUAACUCCGGGCGUGCAGGCGAUACGGGCUGACUUGAGUGCUGUAGGGGAGACUGGAAUUCCUGGUAUAGCGGUGAAAUGCGCAGAUAUCAGGAGGAACACCGAUGGAGAAGGCAGGUCUCUGGGCAGAAACUGACGCUGAGGAGCGAAAGCAUGGGUAGCGAACAGG